CUUUCAAGCUUGGGUUGAAGGUAAAGUCUCAACAUGUGUCAUGGGCUUUAUUUGGUAAAUUUAUUUUCUCUUCCCCUCUAGUUUUUGUGGAUGUUUUGACUUCUCGUCGACAAAUAAUACUAAUCUUGUCUAGUACCGCCUUAGUUUCACCGGCCCUCUAGUACAAGGUUAUUAUUAUUUGGCACGAUAAGCCCUUAGCACCAUAUUGAUUAGAGCGUGGUUCAUGAAGUGUGGAUUCCCCCCUCAUGAUUUAAUUGGCAUUAAUAUGGAUUAUUUAUCCCAUGAUACAUGUUGAUACGGAUCUGUUGAGUGUUAGAAAAUGCAUAUUUAUAAAGGAGAAAACCGUCAUUUUACAUUUCAAGUCUUACUAACAACCCUUACUUUUAUGUAUUUAACCUUCUUGUGAUUUAAUUACAUGUGUUUUAUUUUAAUUAAGUAUUUUAUGUAUUUUAAGGGCAUUAUAGUCAUUUCACAAUAAAGGAGAAAUCAGACGGCAAAACGGACAUCACUUUUGAACUCAGGACAGUCGAAAACCUUAGGAGGAGCAUAAAAGAAAAAAUGGCACUAUUCAUAUGUACGGUACUAUUCACGUGUACGGUACUAACUACGUUACUGUUCACAACACUGUUCACAUAGACGGAUCGAUGACGUGGCAUUGACCGAUGAUGUGGCAUUGACUGAUGAGGUGUCACGAUCCUGUUAGGCUAAAAUUCUUAUGUAUUGUUGAUGGUGACGUGGCAGCAUAUCAGUGGAUGAAAAAUCUCGCGUACGGUACAUGCAUCACACAUGAUUAUUUUCAACCAAACCACGUUACUGUUCAUCAGAGUCAAACCGUGUUACUGUUCAUCCGCAUGGUCAAACCGUGGACUGUUGACUGAUGACGUGGCGCAAUCCUGAGCGUCUAAACUGUUUUUAAUCCGAUGGCCAUGAUUUACUCCAUGUAUCUAUAAAAAGGGGGCCUCCCCCCCUAAUUUGAUAUCUCUAAAUCCAUUUUUGGGAUCCAUUUUAUGUAAUUCCUUCUCCAUCUUGUAUUUUCUUCGUAUUUUAAUAAAUUCCUAUUUUGCCCCUAGUUCAAUUAUGAGUGGCUAAUUUUCUUUCAAGCUUGGGUUGAAGGUGAAGUCUCAACAUGUGUCAUGGGCUUAAUUUGGUAAAUUUAUUUUCUCUUCCCCUCUAGUUUUUGUGGAUGUUUUGACUUCUCAUCGACAAAUAAUAAUAAUCUUGUCUAGAUACCGCCUUGGUUACACCGGCUCUCUAGUAUAAGGUUAUUAUUAUUUGGCACGAUAAGCCCUUAGCACCAUAUUGAUUAGAGCGUGGUUCAUGAGGUGUGGAUUCCCCUCUCAUGAUUUAAUUGGCAUUAAUACGGAUUAUUUAGCCCAUGAUGCAUGUUGAUACGGAUUCAGAUACCCAAGUACGUCAUUUCAAUAGAAUUAUCUUCAAUUUAUUCUCGCCAUUGCAAUUUCAAUUUUAGAAUUUAUUCUUGCCAUUUUAAUUUAAGUUUUAGCAUAUUCCAAACCAUUUCCACCAUAAAUCCAACCACCCAUUUACAAAAUUAAUUCUACACAUAAUUAAAAUCCACCUCCUCGUGGGAUCGACACUCGUCACCAUUGAUCUAUACUACAAUAGAUUCGUGCGCUUGCGAGUACAUUAAAAUUUGCACAACAAGUUUUUGGCGCCGUUGCCGGAGAGGUAAGUAAUUUUAAUUCAUAGAAUUAAUUUUUGUGAAUAAUUUCUUUUAUUUGUUUUCUUGUAUUUUUUUUAUUAUUAAAAAAAAGAAAAAGAAAAAAAAGUGAAUCUACAUUUAAAGGUUAGUAUUUCUUUUCUUUUUCUCUUCUUUAAAAUUCUGUAAUUUAAUUUUCAAUUUAUUUUUCUUUGUAAUUUUUUUAUUUAUCUUAUUAAUUUAUUUUUAGUUAAUUUAUUUCACGUAUUUAUUUUUGUGUAUUUUUAUAGAAAGGUUUUAAUAGCGCAAUAAGGUUAGUAUCGUAAUUUCUCUCUCUUCUUUAUUUUUAUUUGUUUUGUUCCCAUCUUUAUUUUUAUUUUAUUUGUUUUGCAUACAUGGUCGUAGGUCAUUAUUACCUAAUCUUGAACCUAUAGACCUUGAAUUAAAAAAAACACUUCGUACACACAAACAAAUUAAAAAUAAAAUGGAUUUACAACCACAGGAGAGGCCAUUUAAGGACUACUUCAGUCCUUUAGCUAAUUUGAGCACAUCAUGCAUAAGAUACCCAAAUGUAGCUGCUAGGAGCUUUGAACUAAAACCUAGUGUGCUAAAUUGUCUCCCCACAUUUUAUGGCCUAGAAAAUGAGGACCCAUAUAAUCAUCUGAAUGAUUUUCAUGCUAUUUGUCAAACGUUUAAAUACGAGAAUUUUUCAGACGAUGAUGUUAAACUUAGAUUAUUCUCAUUUUCUUUAAAAGAUAGAGCUCGUUCAUGGUUAAAUACUUUACCUGCUAAUAGCAUCACAUCAUGGGAACAAAUGGUAACUAAAUUUUUGAAUAAAUAUUUCCCAGUGCAUAAAACCAAUGCUAUUCGCAAGGAAAUCUCGGAGUUUACCCAGAGAGAGGACGAGCAAUUUUUCGAAACAUGGGAGCGAUUCAAUGGGUUACUCUUGAAGUGUCCACAUCAUGGGUACGAAAAAUGGCACCAAUGCCAAUACUUUUUGGAGGGAUUAUUGCCGAAUGUGCAAGAAUGGCUAAUGACAACAAGUGGAGGAGAGCUAAUGUCAAAAAGUGCAUCAGAGAUUUGGGAAUUCUUCCAGCAAUAAGCGGAUAAUUCCCAACAACGGAGUCGAUCACUCAGGAAUACUAGAAGAAUUAAGGGAGUAAAUGAGGUUCACAUUGGCGAGUCAAGUUCAGAAAUUAAAGAAGUCAAAGCGAUAAUUGAAGGUCUCUCUCGACAAAUAGCAUCGUUAUCGACUGCUAAAUCAACAGAGCCACAUGACCAUGACUCAUACUCAGAUCAAGCCAAUGCCAUAAGUGUAAUGAGAAAGCCAUCAAAUUACAACCCAUACUCCAACACAUAUAACCCUGGAUGAAGAGACCACCUCAAUUUUUCAUGGUCUCAAGGAUUCCAACAGAAUGGACCAGCAGCUCCAGCUCCACCAAUUCCUCAAAAUCCUCAAGCCUCUCAGCCACCAUUUAGACCAUACAAUCAGAACCAGAACUACUCUCAGCCCAGACCAUGGGAGGAUGCAUUCCAGAAUUUCAAAAAUGUUACUCACUCCACGAUUGAGCAACAGAACCGCACCAUUGAUAGACUACGAAAUGAGUUGAGAGCAGGCUUUAAUUCACAAGCCCAAUCAGUUUCAAGCCUCGAAAAGAUGGUGGGACAACUUGCUUCUUCAGUUUAGACAUUGGCAAUGACUGUUGAGAAAUGCAAAUUUCCAAGUCAACCAGUGCCUAAUCCUAAAGGAGUACAUGAAGCAAGUACCAGUUCACCACAGCAGCAUGAAGAGGUCAAAGCAAUCAUGACCUUGAGAAAAGGAAAAGAAGUCGACAACAAAUUAGAGAUGCCGGUGACAAAAGAAAAUCAAAUUGUACCUGUGAAUGUUGAGGAAUCAUCACCGGAGGAGAAAGAAGAAACUAACCCACGGGAAUAUGUUCCCAAAGCUCCAUUUCCUCAGAGGUUAGCUAAAGGAAAAAAGGGAAAAUCCACAGGUGAGAUUCUUGAAAUCUUCAAACAGGUAAGUGUUAACAUCCCUUUACUUGAUGCUAUUAAGCAAGUUCCAUCUUAUGCCAAGUUUCUUAAAGACCUUUGUACUAAAAAGAGAAACAUGCAUGUUCAAAAGAAGGUAUUUUUAACAGAAAACGUUAGUUAUAUCCUCUAACAUAAAAUUCCUCUAAAAUGCAAAGACCCAGACUCCCCCACUAUCUCAUGUAGCAUGGGGAACCACACAAUUGAGAAUGCUUUAUUGGAUUUAGGAGCUAGUGUAAAUCUGUUACCUUAUUCAGUGUUUGUGAAACUUGGACUUGGAGAAUUACACCCAACUCCAGUGGUGUUACAGCUUGCAGAUCGGUCCACGAAAAUACCUCGUGAUAUUAUGGAGGACGUGCUUAUCCAGGUAGACAAGUUUUAUUUUCCUGUUGAUUUCAUUGUAAUUGACACUCAACCAAUACAGGAUUCAAGGAAGCACAUCCCCAUUAUUCUAGGCCGACCUUUCUUGGCAACUGCGGAUGCUCACAUUCAAUGCAGGACUGGAAAUAUGCAGUUGUCUUUCGGCAAUAUGACUAUGGAGCUAAACAUUUUCAACAUUGCCAAACAACCUCACAAUGCAGAUGAUGGAAUUGUUGAUGUGGAUUUAAUAGAAGCAUUAGUUGAUGACACUCUUGUUUCAAACCUUAGUGAUGAUUCUUUACAAACAUGCUUAACUCACUUUGGUUUUGAUUUUGAUAUUGACAUAUCGGUCGAAGAGGUCAACGCCCUGCUUGACUCAGCACUAUCUAUGGACACUAAUAAACGGAAGUCAAGAGUUGAGCAACUAGCACCAUCAGAGAAGAAACCCAUCCUAUCAUCAGAAUCACCACCGAAACUCGAGCUCAAACCAUUGCCCAACACAUUGGAAUAUGCAUUUUUGGGAGAAGAAAGUACUCUACCGGUAAUCAUCUCAUCAUCCCUAAAUGAUGAACAAAAAGGUAAGUUGUUGGAUGUUUUAAAAGAGCACAAAGGAGCAUUAGGAUGGACCAUAGCAGACAUAAAAGGUAUAAACCCAGUAGACUGCAUACAUUACAUUCACCUUGAUGAAAAUGCUAAAUCUACUAGGGAAAUGCAACGUCGGUUAAAUCCUAACAUGAAAGAAGUUGUUAGAACUGAAGUCCUUAAGCUAUUAGACGCAUGUAUCAUUUACCCCAUUUCUGAUAGUUCAUGGGUCAGUCCUGUGCAAGUUGUCCCCAAAAAGUCAGGAGUCACAGUAGUUACGAAUGCUGAUAAUGAAUUGAUACCCACUGGAGUAACUACAGGAUGGCGUGUAUGUAUUGAUUAUAGGAAGUUGAAUUCUGUCACACGUAAAGACCAUUUUCCUUUACCAUUUAUUGAUCAAAUGCUUGAUAGAUUAGCAGGCCAUGAAUUUUAUUGCUUUCUAGAUGGCUACUCAGGAUAUAAUCAGAUUCCCAUAGCACCAAAAGAUCAAGAGAAAACUACUUUCACUUGCCCUUUUGGCACAUUUGCAUAUAGGAGAAUGCCAUUUGGAUUAUGUAAUGCACCUGCUACAUUUCAACGAUGCAUGCUAAGCAUUUUUUCUGAUAUGGUUGAACGAUUUCUUGAAGUCUUUAUGGAUGACUUUUCUGUCUUUGGUGACUCGUUUAAUCAAUGUUUACAUCAUUUAACACUAGUUUUGCAGAGAUGUAUCGAGAAGAACUUGGUCUUAAAUUAGGAGAAAUGUCAUUUUAUGGUAAAACAAGGUAUUGUUCUCGGUCACAUCAUUUCGAGCAAAGGUAUUGAGGUUGACAAAGCCAAGGUGGAUCUCAUUUCUAAUCUUCCUUCACCCAAAACAGUCAGAGAAGUAAGAUCUUUCCUUGGGCAUGCUGGUUUUUAUAGACGUUUCAUUAAAGAUUUUAGCAAAGUUUCUAGACCCUUAUGCAAUCUACUUGCUAAGGAUGUACCUUUUGUCUUUGAUGAUUCAUGUCUUGUUGCGUUUGAAAAAUUAAAACAUUUGUUGACAUCAUCACACAUCAUUCAGGCCCCAAACUGGAGCUUACCAUUUGAGCUAAUGUGUGAUGCAUCUGACUAUGCAGUAAGAGCAGUAUUAGGACAAAGAGUUGAUCGAAUUCCGCAUGUUAUUUACUAUGCUAGUAUGACAUUGAAUGAUGCACAAUUGAACUAUUCAACUACUGAAAAAGAAAUGCUAGCAGUAGUGUUUGCAUUGGAGAAAUUUCGAUCUUAUCUCAUUGGUUGUAAAAUAAUUAUAUUCACAGAUCAUGCUGCUCUUAAAUAUCUUCUCACAAAGAAAGAUGCAAAAGCUAGACUAAUUCGUUGGGUGUUACUUUUGCAGGAAUUUGACUUGGAAUUCAAAGAUAAGAAAGGGACAGAAAAUGUUGUGGCGGACCAUCUCUCUCGUCUCCAUUUUGACACAAUUAUAGAACCAUUACCAUUAAAUGAUUCAUUUCCAGAUGAACAAUUAAUGAGUGUGGAAGUAUUACCUUGGUAUGCUGAUAUAGUUAAUUAUCUUGUUACAGGUAAACUUCUAGAGCAUUGGACCAAACAAGAUAAGGCUAAAUUCUUUGCAGAGAUAAAGAAUUUCUUUUGGGAUGACCCUUAUUUGUUCAAGUAUUGUGCAGACCAAAUUGUUAGACGAUGUGUCCCAGAAAAUGAAAUUAAGAAUAUUCUUUCAUUCUGCCAUGAACAAGCUUGUGGAGGCCAUUUCAGUACUAAGAAAACAGCGACUAAAGUUUUACAAUGUGGUUUCUAUUGGCCAUCUAUAUUUCGAGACGCUUACACUUUCUGUUCUUCGUGUGAUAGGUGUCAACGAAUGGGGAGCAUUACGCGAAGGAAUAUGAUGCCACUAAAUCCAAUUUUAGUGGUUGAGAUUUUUGAUGUAUGGGGUAUAGACUUCAUGGGACCCUUUCCCCCGUCUUUUGGCCAUCAAUACAUAUUGGUUGCUGUUGACUACGUAUCAAAAUGGGUAGAAGCAAUUCCAUGUAGGACCAAUGAUCACAAGGUGGUGAUAGCAUUUUUGAAAAGCAACAUUGUUUCACGCUUUGGAUUCCCUCGAGCAAUAAUUAGUGAUGGUAGUGCCCACUUUUGUAACAAAGCAUUCAAAGCUCUUUUGACAAAGUAUUCAAUCACACACAAAGUGGCAACCCCUUAUCAUCCGCAAACUAGUGGCCAAGUUGAGAUAUCCAAUCGAGAAAUAAAGCACAUAUUAGAAAAAACGGUGAGGCCAGACAGGAAAGAUUGGUCAUUAAGACUUGAUGAUGCCUUAUGGGCAUAUAGAACGGCUUUCAAGACCCCGAUUGGGAUGUCACCCUACAGGCUAGUGUAUGGAAAAGCUUGCCACCUACCUGUGGAACUCGAGCAUCGUGCGUAUUGGGCCAUCAAGAAAUUCAAUUUUGACAUGCAGCAAGCCAGCUCAGAAAGAAGAUUACAGCUGGCAGAACUUGAAGAAAUUCGUAAUGAUGCAUACGAAAAUGCCAAGAUUUACAAGCAAUGAAUGAAAGUCUUCCAUGAUAAGCAAAUUAUGAGAAAAUCGUUCACUCCAGGUCAGAAAGUGCUUUUAUUCAAUUCUCGCUUGCACCUAUUCCCAGGUAAGUUACGCUCUCGUUGGUCUGGCCCAUUUAUUGUUCAUACUGUUUUUCCACAUGGGGCAAUUGAAAUUAAAGACCCAAAGAACGGUGUCACGUUUAAAGUUAAUGGUCAAAGAUUAAAGCCAUAUCUAGAGCACCAACCACAUGAAGAAGACACCGAAAUAAAUUUGAGUGACCCACCAAAUUUGAAUUGAUUUUUUUUUAUUUUCGUUGAUUUGAUUUUUCUUUCUUUCUUUUUAUUAUUAUUCUUUUGCUAAUUGAAAUUGUUUUUGCAUAAGUGUGUUUAUUUUACCAUUAAGUUUUCUCUUAUCAUUUUUAAUCAUGAGUCUCAUACUUAGACCGUUCCUCCUGAACAUUCUUAAACCACUUCAACGUGUCAAAACUCAUCUCAAAAGGCAGAUUCAAUUUUGUAAAACACAACGCAUUUGGGCUCUACAACCACCAUAGUUAGUAGCCUAUGUUGAGGGUUUAGAACGCCAACUCAGAGACAUUGAGAGAAGUGUUUACGACAUCCAGUUAGAGCUUGAGGUAAAUUCAAUAAGAGGAUGAUUUUAAUUUUCUUUGUGUGUUUUAAUUUAUUUUUUUUAUUUGUGUGCUUUAGUUUGUUACCCUGGUGAAGUGGCGGAUAACGGUACUCCGUGACAAUCAAGUCGGUUACUUUAGUUUCCCAUAAUAACUGAUAUUCUGAGGCGAAGGUAUGGACAGAAACGAGAUUCUAGCGAAACUUCACAAGCAAUUCCCUUCACUUCCUCAGAAUGCCCUCCUUACGAUCUAUAAAGCUCGGUCCGAACGCAUGCGAUUACUCAUGAGGAAUAACAUACUUGCUGAUAUCCGUUGGUUAAUCGAGGCUAAAGUACGAUCGGCAGGUGAGUUACCUCCAAAAUUUAUUGCAUACAUGCCUGGUUGUGGUAAAGAAAAUUAUGCAAGAAAACGACGAGCUCGAAGAAUUUCUGUUGCUUGUCAUAAGUGUGCCAGAAUGAGUUGCAAUAAAAACCCAUGUUCUUUAGGAAUGAUGUCUGAUAACAGGGAAGAUAAGAUUCAAUUCAUUAGGGAUGACUUGAAUAAGGAGUCAUUGGAUGAUAUCCUUUUGUCUCUUGAAACGCAUCCCAGUGGAUAUGUGCAAGGAGCGAUUCUCCAGUUAUGGCCAUUAUUCCAGAAAGAGCAUGCACGAUAUAUUCUCGGGAAUCUAACUAUAAACGACUCUGUUUGCCAGUUUAUAAGAAAACUGGAUAGGAAGCCUAUCCUCGACCCAUAGAGGGCGUUCAAGCCGUUUCUGGACGUAAAACCAGAGGAAGAUGUGAGCCACAGUUGUUAUUUUAUUUCACUAUUGUCUUAUUGUUUGCAUUAUUGUCUUUAAUAAUUUUAUUACUGUUUGCUUUUUCCUUAUUACUGUUUGCUUUUUCCUUUUUACUGUUUCUUUUUGACUCGCGAGCCACGUGCUUUACGCGUUAUUUGACAUUGACAUGUGACCUCAUACACAACUAUGACCCACUAUCACCAAGACUCUUAAAUGUGAUUUUCUUUGUCAAGCACUCACAAAUUAUUUUUGCGAAGUAUCACAAUGGCAGCUACUCCCAAUAGACAAUUCAAGAACAUUUGUGUGCUUUCUGGAUUUACAUAUGGCAAACAUAAAGAGUUCGUUGAGGCAGCCAUAGAUCUUGGUCGAAGCAUAGCAGCGAGAAAAUUACACUUGGUGUAUGGAGGAGGUAAUCGAGGGUUAUCAAAAAUGGUCUCAGAAGCAGCUUUUAUCAGAGGAAGUCAAGUGUUAGGCAUCAUCCCAAGAGUCGUAAAACCAUUAGGCAGUUCGUCUGACUCAUCAACUGGAGAAGAGUUAGUCGUCUCAGGUAUGCAGGAAAGAAUAACUGAAAUGCUUAAUCAUGCUGAUGCUUUUAUUUUCCUUCCAGGAGAUCUUGCAACACUAGAGGCACUUAUCACGCUAGCAUCUUGGGUCCAUCUCCACAUCCACCAGAAACCCAUCGGUUUGUUAAAUGUAAAUAACUUUUAUGAUGGCUUUAUCGCAUUUCUUAACCAUGCAAUAAAAAACUAUUUCAUUCCCGCUAAUGUGAAAAAACUCUUUAUUUGUGCUCACACUGCUAAUGAGCUACUUGAUCUGUUACAAGCUUAUAGAUCGGAGCCAGACCCCUGGACCUUUGUGUUGGAGCGUCCAAAUAAUGAUGGUAACAGUAGCAGCAGUAAGAAGUACAAAUUAGAUUUAACUCUCCGCCUGUAAAUAUUUUCUUCUGUGUUGCACCACCCAGGUGAUGCCUUCUAAACUCUACUUCUUUCCUUUCAAACAUUGAGGACAAUGUUUCGUUCUGGUUAGGGGGAGAGAAUAGUCGAUAAUUGUGGAAUCUUGGUUAGGUUUUUACUGAUUUUUUGUUGUAGAAACUAACUGUUGCUAACUUUUUGUGUUGAAGAUGGCUGAAUAUGGAGUGUAGUUACUCUAGAAACGCAUCUUCAUCGUUUGAAAAAAAAAUCAAAAAAAAAAUUUGCACAUUUUCUUUUUCUUUAUUAAGUUUUGAUGUUUAUUUUUCUUCUUAUUAAUUUCUCCUCUAUGAAUAUAUAUUUUCCAACUUUUGAGUCGAAGAUGGCUGAAUAUGGAGUGUAGUGCCUCUAGAAACGCAUCUUCUUAGUAAAAAAAAAAAACCAUUUUCUUUUUCUAUCAUUUUAAGUGUACUUUUUCUAAUUAGUUUUUUUUUUUUUGCAUCAUUUUCACAUUUCUGCAUGCAUAUUUUCCUUUCAUGUUUAGAAUAGGUUGGGGGGUAGAAUGUUGUUUAAAAAAAAAAUUGUGUGAUUUGUUUUAACAUUGGGUGACAUGAUUAAUUUAAAUUUUAGUAUUUGUAUUAUCUUUGGUCUUAAGUGAUGUUACAUUAUGUUUGCUACUCUACAUGUUGAUGUCGGAGACAUAUAUGAGUUGCUUGAAGGAAUGAACAUGUCAUAAUAAAUACCAAGUGAGUUUUUGAGCCUAUCAUUUUUCUUGGAGAGUAACCCUUUUGCCCAUUUUUUAUACAGCUUAACAGUUUAUUAUUGUAUACACGAUCUCUAGAUUUUUUUUGAGUUAACCCUUAAUAAAAAAAAGAAAAAAAAAGUGUGUUGCUAUAUUUGGAGGCCCAUCUAACUAGUAGAUAUGGAAGAUUAUUUAGAGCCCUAAAAGACGAUGGAAAGGCCAUCUUUGAUCCGUUUGAGUCUUUCUAGCCAUCCCUUUUAUCAAAUAUCCAUAGUUAACCUUUUUGAGCCUUUAAAAAAAAAAAAACUUUUUUCUUUGUCAACUUAUCAUCUUGACCCACUCCGAUUUGGAGUAUUACCCAAUGUCUUAUAAGUUCCAUCACCUAUUUAUGUUUGAGAAAAUGUAAAUAAUUAUGUUGUUCAGUAAAGUUAUGCAAAAAAAAAAACAAACAAAACAAAAGUUUUUGUUUCAAAAGAAAAAAAAUAAAAAUAAUAGGUGAAAUCCACCUUGCAACUUCCAAAAAAAAAAAAAUUCUCUGCAUUUUUCUCAAACAUACACUUUGUUUUCCUUAUUUUCCUUCUUUGUUAGCCAUGUCCCUAGCCUACGUUACGUCCUAAUAAAAGUCCUUCUUGAUUUUAGGGAACUAUAGUUUGAAGUAGAAGCUAGUUAUAUGGGCUAAAAAGAUGUAGUGAUGCAUAAUAAAAAAAAAAGAUAAAUAAAUUGGGUUGACUAGCAUUUUUGUUUGACUUGAGAUCGUAUUAUUUCUAAGCUGAGGGCAUAUUUAUUUCAUCUUGGUGAGAGCAUGUGAUAUCACUUCUUUAUUAUUUUCUCUCUCAAUUACCAUUCAUUGGAGUGAUUAUUUUUAUUGGUUUUAAUUUCUUUGUGAGAGUGUCACUACUUCCAGUGAGAUUUUGGGGUUUGACAUGUCAUUCUUGAAAGUAGCUAUGACAAAGUCUACUGGGCUGAUUCAUGUGGAUGGUUGAUGUGGGUGUGAUGUUGCUUUAGACUUGAGAUAAUGCUUAUACUUUUAUUUGAUUGCUAUCAUUAAUCUGACGGAAUAAAUACGAGUGUUUCUAUUAAAAAAAACAAUAUUUUGAAUUUGAAUUUUGUUUUCGCUUUAUUUGCUAGGGACUAACAAUAAGCUGGUUGGGGGGUGUGUUGAGUGUUAGAAAAUGCAUAUUUAUAAAGGAGAAAACCGUCAUUUUACAUUUCAAGUCUUACUAACAACCCUUACUUUUAUGUAUUUAAUCUUCUUGUGAUUUAAUUACAUGUGUUUUAUUUUAAUUAAGUAUUUUAUGUAUUUUAGGGGCAUUAUAGUCAUUUCACAAUAAAGGAGAGAUCAGACGGCAAAACGGACAUCACUUUUGAACUCAGGACAGUCGAAAACCUUAGGAGGAGCAUAAAAGGAAAAAUGGCACUAUUCAUAUGUACGGUACUAUUCACGUGUACGGUACUAACUACGUUACUGUUCACAAUACUGUUCACAUAGACGGAUCGAUGACGUGGCAUUGACCGAUGAUGUGGCAUUGACUGAUGAGGUGUCACGAUCCUGUUGGGCUAAAAUUCUUAUGUAUUGUUGAUGGUGACGUGGCAGCAUAUCAGUGGAUGAAAAAUCUCGCGUACGGUACAUGCAUCACACAGGAUUAUUUUCAACCAAACCGCGUUACUGUUCAUACGAGUCAAACCGUGUUACUGUUCAUCCGCGUGGUCAAACCGUGGACUGUUGACUGAUGACGUGGCGCAAUCCUGAGCGUCCAAACUGUUUUUAAUCCGAUGGCCAUGAUUUACUCUAUGUAUCUAUAAAAAGGGGGCCUCCCCCCCCUAAUUUGAUAUCUCUGAAUCCAUUUUUGGGAUUCAUUUUAUGUAAUUCCUUCUCCAUCUUGUAUUUUCUUCGUAUUUUAAUAAAUUCCUAUUUUGCCCCUAGUUCAAUUAUGAGUGGCUAAUUUUCUUUCAAGCUUGGGUUGAAGGUGAAGUCUCAACAUGUGUCAUGGGCUUAAUUUGGUAAAUUUAUUUUCUCUUCCUCUCUAGUUUUUGUGGAUGUUUUGACUUCUCGUCGACAAAUAAUAAUAAUCUUGUCUAGAUACCGCCUUGGUUACACCGGCUCUCUAGUAUAAGGUUAUUAUUAUUUGGCAUGAUAAGCCCUUAGCACCAUAUUGAUUAGAGCGUGGUUCAUGAGAUGUGGAUUCCCCCCUCAUGAUUUAAUUGGCAUUAAUACGGAUUAUUUAGCCCAUGAUGCAUGUUGAUACGGAUCCAGAUACCCAAGUACGUCAUUUCAAUAGAAUUAUCUUCAAUUUAUUCUCGCCAUUACAAUUCCAAUUUUAGAAUUUAUUCUCGCCAUUUUAAUUUAAGUUUUAGCAUAUUCCAAACCAUUUCCACCAUAAAUCCAACCACCCAUUUACAAAAUUAAUUCUACACAUAAUUAAAAUCCACCUCCUCGUGGGAUCGACACUCGUCACCAUUGAUUUAUACUAUAAUAGAUUCGUGCGCUUGCGAGUACAUUAAAAUUUGCACAACAGGAUCCAGAUACUUAAGUACGUCAUUUCAAUAGAUUUCGCUUCAAUUUAUUCUCGUCAUUUCAAUUCCAAUUUUAGAAUUUAUUAUCGCCAUUUCAAUUCCAAUUUUAGGAUAAUUUAAAUCACUUCCACCACAAUUCCAACCACCCAUUUACAAAAUUAAUUCUACAUAUAACUAAAAUCCACCUCCUCGUGGGAUCGACACUCGUCACCAUUAGUCUAUACUACAAUAGAUUCGUGCGCUUGCGAGUACAUUAAAAUUUGCACAACAUUGUGUCUUAAUGUUUCUACUGUUGCAAAAUCAAGUGUUCUAAUUUUAUGAGUUAUAUUAAAUAUUUUAUGGAUUUUCUAAUUCAACGAUCUCUGUCUUUAUCAUUACUGGACAAUUUUGAUACUUGCAUGUAAAAUUCUUUUUGCAAUAUGUUUAUGAUUUUAUUCAUUUUUUGAAUUUUUAUAUGAAAUGCUACACAUGUUUGUAGUUUCUUUUUUAAUUUUUACAAUUUUCCGACAUAUGAUUACCUUGGUAAAAUUCAGCUUGUAUAGGAUGGUCAGGUUUAGACUAAUUUUGAUGGUUUAGUGCUUAUGAGUUGGCUUGAUUAUGUUGGAUUUAUAUCAAGGUCAGAAUGAGCCAAAAUAAUUAUAAGAAUGUGUCUUGAUCUUUUAGGGCGAGUGUGAGCUCGUGGUUGAGGUUACCGUUCUUUUUAUUGCUGAGAAUUGAAGUAGAUUCAUGCAUGGUAUAUGUAUUUCACUAUUAAAUUACUUUUAAUUCUUGGUAUGUAUUAUGUUGAAUGAAAAGUUUAUGAAACUGAUUUGUUUAGCCUAUUACAAUAAUUUGUUAAUUAAAGUCAUUCUUUAAAAUUAUUUAUAACAUAAUUUUAUUUAUGAAAAACUUGUUUUAUAAAUUGUCUUAAAAAUAAAGACUUUUAUUAAAUUGUUUAAAGUCAAAUAUUUUGAAAUAAUUAUCAAUUAUUUAAAUGUAAUUUACAGAAGCUUACAAAUGAUUAAAAGUUUAAGGAUGGUUUUAAAUGAGUUGGCUCAUUAUAUGUAGUGAUGUUAUGUUACGGAAGGCUAGCCGGAUUUUUUGCGCAUAUGAUGUUAAUGUUAAUGAUUCUCGCGGGGUAUAAUGCCCUGAAUGAUGAUAUAUGGCUGGGUCAUUGGGUCUACAGGUGAUAUUAUGUGGCAUAAGCUAAAUUAAGUUUUAUGUGUUUAAAAUGGUAUUGUUAUGUUUAAAGGAUUUAAAUAACUUUAUGAUGUUUUGAUAUAUUUUUGCUAAAUGAUGAUUUACAAAGGUAAUUUCCCUUAUUAUUAUGCUUAUCUAAGAAAUUUUAAUCAAUUAUAUUUUAAUGAUUUUUAGCAUUGUACAUGAAUUUACUUACCGAGCUGACGACUCACCCCUCGCUACCACAUUUUUGCAGAUAGAGUUAGAUAAUAUGAGCUCAUGAUCUUAGGAGGAAGAAUACGAGCUCGAUUUGUUUUGGAGAUUAAUGUUAUGUUAAUAAUCUAUAAUUAUUUUAGCUUCCUUUGGGAUGAUAUUUAUUUGAAAUUUUGUUAUUUCAUUACUUAUUAUCUUUUGGAGGUUUAGAACAUUAUUGUUGGAUAUUAUUUUAAUGAUUUUAGAAAUGAGAAUGAUGAAAUAUAGUUUCACUUUAAUUUCAACUUAGUACCUUAUUAGUGGAAUUGGGGUGUUUCAUUAAUCGUUAGCAAAUUUUUAUAAUCAACAAUGAGCUAAAGAAAAUAAAUAUUUCA
This 14439-nucleotide long non-coding RNA is filed under the name Citrus x clementina. Its description in RNAcentral is "Citrus clementina (C. clementina) long non-coding RNA (CCLE_LNC003485)". Lineage: Eukaryota; Viridiplantae; Streptophyta; Magnoliopsida; Sapindales; Rutaceae. The record is from RNAcentral.